Molecule: ribosomal RNA, 178 nt
Filed under: uncultured bacterium
Lineage: Bacteria
Description: partial 16S ribosomal RNA
Rfam family: Bacterial small subunit ribosomal RNA
Source: RNAcentral
AAGCCGGAAUUGCUAGUAAUGGCAGGUCAGCAUACUGCCGUGAAUACGUUCCCGGGCCUUGUACACACCGCCCGUCACACCAUGAGAGUUGGAAAUACCCGAAGCCUGUGAGCUAACUUAAGGGAGGCAGCAGUCGAAGGUAGAGCCAAUGAUUGGGGUAAAGUCGUAACAAGGUACC